AGUGAACGCUGGCGGUAGGCCUAAUACAUGCAAGUCGAACGGCCGCACAGUAAGAGCUUGCUCUUACGGGUGGCGAGUGGCGGAUGGGUGAGGAAUACAUCGGAAUCUACUUUUUCGUGGGGGAUAACGUAGGGCCACUUACGCUACUACCGCAUAUGACCUACGGCUGAAAGCAGUGGUUCUUCGCACCUUGCGCGACUGUUAGAGCCGAUGCCGGAUUAGCUAGUUGGCGGGGUAAAGGCCCACCAAGGCAACGAUGCGUAGCUGAUCUGAGAGGAUGAUCAGCCACACUGGAACUGAGACACGGUCCAGACUCCUACGGGAGGCAGCAGUGGGGAAUAUUGGGCAAUGGGCGCAAGCCUGAUCCAGCCAUACCGCGUGAGUGAUGAAGGCCUUCGGAUUGUAAAGCCCUGUUAUUGGGAAAGAAAAACUGCGGAUGAAUACCCCGCUGUUCUGACGGUACCCAAAGAGUAAGCACCGGCUAACUUCGUG
RNAcentral lists this ribosomal RNA (492 nucleotides) under uncultured bacterium. RNAcentral's name for it is "partial 16S ribosomal RNA". It matches the Rfam family "Bacterial small subunit ribosomal RNA", at positions 29 to 507 of the family's 1533-position model. The record is from RNAcentral.